UACGGGGGUGGCAAGCGUUGUUCGGAAUUACGGGGCGUAAAGGGCUCGUAGGCGGCCAACUAAGUCAGACGUGAAAUCCCUCGGCUUAACCGGGGAACUGCGUCUGAUACUGGAUGGCUUGAGAUUGGGAGAGGGAUGCGGAAUUCCAGGUGUAGCGGUGAAAUGCGUAGAUAUCUGGAGGAACACCGGUUGCGAAGGCGGCAUCCUGGACCAACACUGACGCUGAGGAGCGAAAGCCAGGGGAGCAAACGGG
This 253-nucleotide ribosomal RNA is filed under the name uncultured bacterium. RNAcentral describes it as "partial 16S ribosomal RNA". It matches the Rfam family "Bacterial small subunit ribosomal RNA", at positions 524 to 776 of the family's 1533-position model. The record is from RNAcentral.